Molecule: long non-coding RNA, 665 nt
Organism: Phacochoerus africanus (Common warthog)
Lineage: Eukaryota; Metazoa; Chordata; Mammalia; Artiodactyla; Suidae
Exons: 3
Source: RefSeq, a predicted model, not a curated record
GACCUCGGCGCGGCCCGGCGCCGCCCGGUAGCGCCCCAGCGCCAGGAACUCGGCCAGCAGGACUCACCUGUGACAAAGUGCACUCCUUCCAGCGUGAUAUCCAUGCCAUUGAUCGAGCCGGACAGGGAACCAUCCAACUCUCUGAUUCCUGACCCAUCAAAUACUUCCCAGAGCUGCUGAUAUGCUGGUGAACCGGAUGGCGACAGAAAGUGCAUUGGGUUCCACCAAGCAGCCUGAGCCUGAGGCAAAGCUGAAAGGAAAGACGCCAACAGCCCUGCACCUACUUUCCCACCCAGGGACGGAAAGGAGGAGGGUGAGGCUCCCUGCAGGCCUGGUGGGAGGGGAAAGCUGUCCCUUCCUUGGGCUUGGGGGAUGAGCAGCGCUGAGAGCUCCGGGGGCCGAGCCUUAGCAGGUCCCUUCUCCCUGUGGCUGGCCCUCUGUCGUCCUCAUCCCUCCCCUCGUCCCAACCUUCUCGUCUGCCUCAGAGCAAAGGGACAGUCCUCAGGGCCAGGCUGAAACAGAAACUGAUAAUAUCGCCACCCCCCCCCCCACCCCUUCUCCCCGGCCAGGGAACUAGGUGAGGAGUGGAAAGGAGACGGGGCUUAAGGAAGAUUUUCCUCUGCAUAGACUGCCUGUCUACGUUUUGAACACUGAACCUCAUAAAU